This 334-nucleotide ribosomal RNA is filed under the name Schmidingerella taraikaensis. RNAcentral describes it as "partial Bacterial large subunit ribosomal RNA". It matches the Rfam family "Bacterial large subunit ribosomal RNA", at positions 1 to 386 of the family's 2925-position model. The record is from RNAcentral. Lineage: Eukaryota; Ciliophora; Spirotrichea; Tintinnida; Rhabdonellidae.
GUCAAGCGAAUAAGCGUAUAUGGUGGAUGCCUUGGCAGUUAGAGGCGAUGAAGGACGUGUAAGUCUGCGAAAAGCUGUGGUGAGCUGACAAAAAGCAUUUGAGCCACAGAUGUCCGAAUGGGGAAACCCACCGCUUCGGCGGUAUCGUUAGGUGAAUACAUAGCCUAACGAAGCAAACGAGGGGAACUGAAACAUCUAAGUACCCUUAGGAAAAGAAAUCAACUGAGAUUCCCCAAGUAGCGGCGAGCGAACGGGGAGCAGCCGAGUAAUUAUGAAGUAGUGGAAUGUGUUGGAAAGCACAGCGAUACAGGGUGAUAGCCCCGUACACGAAGCG